ACACCCAUCAAAUACAGUCAAAGUAUUGGUACUUUAAAAAAAGCGUUCCAACGACUUUUAAAAAUAUAAUAGCAAAAAGCGAUGAGUAGUCUACAAGAAUGGAGACAGCCAAUGUUGCUCAUGGAAAGUUUUUGGUGAAAUAACAGUUGCCUGAUAAUUUUGAGUUGAAACGCAACACAGCUGGCUGCCAUUUUCAAGUAAGCCCCAAAGGCCUUGAUUAGCGGGUUCAGGUGUGCUUGUUCAGAGAUGGACCUGCACUCCACAGGCAGGGGGACUGCGUACCCCUGUAUGAAGGAGGCCUUUACGGCGGAGAAUUGCAAGGCAUUGGCUUGUGCCGUAGCGCGACAGGAAUAAAAAGUGGACACAGCUGGCUGCCAUUUUCAAGUAAGCCCCAAAGGCCUUGAUUAGCGGGUUCAGGUGUGCUUGAUCAGAGAUGGACCUGCACUCCACAGGCAGGCGGACUGCGUACCCCUGUAUGAAAGAGGCCUUUGGAGAAGUGACGCUGCGUGCUCAUCCAAACUCAGCCGUUUUCGCUUUCUUUGCUUUUUAGCAAAGUCAGUACUGGAAGCCUGUCCCAGCCUCUGCUCCACCCUAACAGAGGCGCCCUGUUGACGCCGGGACACCCAUCAAAUACAGUCAAAGUAUUGGUACUUUAAAAAAAGCGUUCCAACGACUUUUAAAAAUAUAAUAGCAAAAAGCGAUGAGUAGUCUACAAGAAUGGAGACAGCCAAUGUUGCUCAUGGAAAGUUUUUGGUGAAAUAACAGUUGCCUGAUAAUUUUGAGUUGAAACGCAACACAGCUGGCUGCCAUUUUCAAGUAAGCCCCAAAGGCCUUGAUUAGCGGGUUCAGGUGUGCUUGUUCAGAGAUGGACCUGCACUCCACAGGCAGGGGGACUGCGUACCCCUGUAUGAAGGAGGCCUUUACGGCGGAGAAUUGCAAGGCAUUGGCUUGUGCCGUAGCGCGACAGGAAUAAAAAGUGGACACAGCUGGCUGCCAUUUUCAAGUAAGCCCCAAAGGCCUUGAUUAGCGGGUUCAGGUGUGCUUGAUCAGAGAU
This is a long non-coding RNA of Labeo rohita (rohu), 1054 nucleotides long. RefSeq lists it as uncharacterized. The transcript is spliced from 3 exons. NCBI's taxonomy places the organism in Eukaryota, Metazoa, Chordata, Actinopteri, Cypriniformes, Cyprinidae. The record is from RefSeq and is a predicted model, not a curated record.